AUCGCAGACAAUAAUAGGCAUUUCUAUCACAGGGCCGGCCAUGUGCAGUCUGCAAAAUGCUGGUAUCCAUGUUUUUCAGAUCCUCAAUUAGCAGACCGCAAAAGACUUAUCGAUGUCUGAAUGGACCCUUCAGCGGGUGAGGCAAAGCAGUCCUUUUUUAUUUAAAACUUUCCUCCACUUCAUAUACAAAAAUCAUAAUUUGUCAUACAAGUUAUUUAAGGGGCAUGCUACGGUUUUCUAUGGAGCUGUAUGGGAUCUGUGUAUGCCCCUGACUGUGUACAUAUUUAUAUUUUACGUAUAUAUUUGGUACCAUGCCGAUGGUUCUAACCAUUUCAUGCCAUGACUUGAUGGAGCCUUCAUAGCACAGCCAGUAAACCUAUCAUAAGGGUGAACUAUCAGAAGGAGAAUAUAGAAGCUUGAUUCAAAUAGGAUCAUAAACGGAAAUAGAUCAGUGGCUCAAGUACUGUAACCAAGCACCUCUUAGCAGCUCUAAGGAGUACAGGCUAUUUUAUACCAGUGACAAUUGGAUGUCUUUUUUUUAAUAAUGUCUCUAUAUACGUUGUGCUUUGUUUGGCACAGGAGCAUAACAGUUACAGAAUAUUAAGGGUGUAUAAGACUGUGCUGUUAUUCUGCAACACAUUUGAAAAUUCAUCAAAAUAAUUAGACUCCUUACCCACAGAAAAAGAAAGCAGAGCAUUAGCACCACCUAUCGGAUAACUACAACAGUUUACAAAAAGGUUGUCUUGCCUUCUUUUGUUUGCUACUUUAAACUAAUGGAAAGAGUGUAUACUAUUCAUCAUACGUAUUCUGUUGGCCUUGGCAAGCAUGAAUGUUGGCCAUAUUUAUCUAUUCUUGAAUGCCUUGCUAUCACUAGAUUGGACGCUGCAUUGCUCUGCCUAUCAUUAUGUAUAAGUAUGUUUUAUGUUCUUAUGCUACGUUACAUACUGUGGAAUAAAUACAUCACCAUGUAGCUAUAGCAAAAUCAGGGAGUCGGGAGGAAACUGACACACAAAUCACAUGGACAUACUGUAGAUCCAGUUAGUGUUACCAUACACAGUACCGGAAACUUUGUGCUAGGCAAUAUAUGAAAGUCGGAGGCAGAAAUAUACCACAUUGAUAGAGUAUAUGAAGUAUCUGAAACAACAUCUACUUCAAUGUCUGCCUUAAAGUUAUUUGAAAUGGAAGUUACAAUUUAACCUGAGGUAUGCCAUUCAGGGUUGCCAACCAUCCAGAAAUUUCUGGACAGUCUGUAAAAAUAGGUGACUUUUUUCCUGUGUCUGUAAAAAAAAAAUAGAUGUGUCCGUGAUUAUUUUUUUGGGCUGCAGGUACUUGACUAGAUUAUUUUGGUGGUAAUUAUCAUCAUUUUACAGCUCACAGUAAAUCCUGGUAAUGAGUACUUAUCAGUAUAAUGAGCUAUAGACAUGCAUUACUUAUAAUCUUUAUCAUUCAUUAUGGUUUUCCAAUUUGUCCAUAAAAUAUGUUGGUUGUCUGUGAUUUUAGGUUAAAUUGUCCAGAAAAAAAAGAAAAAUCCUGAUUGGCAACCCUGAUGCCGUUACUUUAACUUAUUCCCUUUAAACUGUGCUACAUAUUGUCUGAUCACAUCGAUAUGCGAUUUCUGGUUCAGGUUCAUAACUCUGCAUGUUUCUAAUUGAGAUUAUAGCUUUUUAUGAGAAUUAGGUAACAUUGCAUUAAAUUUGUCUUACAUACUAAGAACACAAACUGCACAUUGCAUUUUCGGAGAACAGCUGUACAUUUAACGUAGUCAGUCAGUAAAAAAAAUACACAAGGAUUUAUUAAAGACUGAAUGUUUUAUGUUAUGCACAUCAAGAACACAUAAGGCGCCUUAACAACUGUAAAGGGUGUUUUUUGAAUUUCCCUGUAAAAUACUCACUAAACAUAUAUUACAUUGGUGCGGAAUCCAUAGCACAUAGAAAAAACAUUAGACUAUUUAUGAGGGUGAACCUCAUGUGUACCUAGGUUCAGUAUCACUGGGCCCAUAAAGGACUAACAUAUAUAUAUAUAUAUAUAUAUAUAUAUAUGAUGAAAUUCAGUUCAUUCUGCAGAGUAUUUUUCAGUAGGGUUUGUGUUAGAGCAGACAGUGGACAGUGAUAUCACUGUAUGUACUUAGUGACUAAAUUAGUUUAGCGUAACCUGAAAAUGAGAUUAAGGCCUCAUCUACAUUUGUAACACUCAGAACUAAAUAUGGCACCCUACACUCCAAUAGGCUUUUACUGCACCUUAAUACACCUAAAAUCCGUGGCCUGCUUCAUCAGACACAUAAUUAUGGAGCUAAUCUCUUCUAGAAGCAUUUCUAGAGAAUUAUUAUGUAACAGCACUGUAUAGAGCACCAUACAGUGAUAUACAGCGUAAACUGGCUCUAUGGUACACAGCUACAGAGACUUUGUGUGCUUCCAUGGUGCCUACAUGCACAUGGCUCUUCUGAGGACUUCGUGCCUAAAAUGCAUAAAAUUACUUGAACAAUUGGAAAAAUCCAACAAUAUUGGUUCAUUUGUCAGUGUUCUGGGGGCAUGGUGUCUUCUGCAUGCAACCGUAUGAUUUGAUUCUAAAUCACAGGGGAUAAUUUACUAAAGACUGGCAUUUCACAUGCCAGUCUUAGUGAAAAGGCCAGAGAGAGGUCCCCUUGCCGUAGUGGAUGGGCACAAAUUAUUUUGAAAAUAUAUUCUUUUUGUCUAGUCAAUGAUGCAUUAGUUCAUGUAUUUUAUGGUGUCAGAGUAACAUGCAGCCAAAUUAUUAAAAUGAUUAAGAGGUGCAUGUGUGUUAAUAAACUUGUCUGUGAUGUCCAUGCUCCAUCUUUAGAUCCAAAAAGGAAGCAGUAUCCUUCUAAUGUGAGUCCUCCGGUAUGUAAUAAAUUAUAAUUUCUUAUAAUGACACAUGCCAGGUUUUCCAAAAUGUUUUACCACACUCAAAUUUAGUCCUCAUGCACACAAGUUGUAUGUGGCUACAAUAAUCAACUCAUAGACUUCUAAUGGGACCUACUGUACCUAUGUGAUUUCAUAAUGAGACAUAAAUACAGGAAAUAACUAAUGGGGUGCUCUAACAGAUGCCUAAUAAUGGAGUUGUUCUCCCCCCAAUCAUGCUAUACAGAUGUGUCUUUCCUUACCUUUCAGCUUCCCCAACAUAUCACAAAAUAUAUGGUGCAAGAAGACUGCUUUUUAAGAAAGAAAAAACUUGAUUUUACAAUACUACGUUCACUUCCGGUCACAUGACUGUCAUGCAAACGUCAGCAUUUACGUGCAUGUAUAUGGUAUGUCACUACUUCUGGUCCAGUGGGGACUGGAAGUGGAGGGUACAGGGGCCGGGGUGCUGGACUUUGUGUCAAGGUGUUUUUUUUUUUCUCUUUUUUUAAACAUUGUCCAGCACUUUGCUAAAUAUGUUUCCUGUGUAGGAGUGUAGGACAACCCAAUAACUUUCUUAUUCUCCAUGCACUGACUUCAAAGCACCAAAUAACCAAACCAAUAAUGCACCAGGUUCUGUUUAUUGUCCAUCCAGAGUUCUUAUAUUAGUUCAGUUGAAAGCAAAACUCAUCUACUAAUAUUUACUGUAACAGAAAGGGGGUGCAGAAAAAGACACCAUGGCUCAAGAACUGCAACAAUGACCUUUUUCACAUUUACUGUAUGUAAACUGUAUAUUUAGCUGUUGUUGAAUGAACAAAAUGUGGAUGUAUUUUCAGAUUUAUAUCAUGUCUCACUAUACCGCAUAAAACAUGGUAAGCACUUCCAUACAGUUUGGUAACAUUCAGAAACUCUUUAUUUUUGCUUGGGUGUGACCAAACGGCUGUAGAGUCCAGCAUUAGUGAUUACUGAUAAUUUCUUGUACAUGGAAUCUACCCUUCAAGUGGAAUAAGUGACAACAAACUACAGUGGAUAUUAUAUUUACCCACUUCAUUUUUUAUCAUGUUAUUGUUUUUCUUACACAGCUUUUACCCAUUAAUUAAACUUGUCAGACCAAUAUCCGUUUCUUCUGUCAGAAAAUGUCCUGCUUGAAUUACAGCAUAACUCUAAUUGUAGAGUAUAAACAAUGAGGUUUAGGAUUAUUAUGAGUAAUAGGAAUGUUUUAUUAGG
Bufo bufo (common toad) is the source of this 4082-nucleotide long non-coding RNA. RefSeq lists it as uncharacterized. NCBI's taxonomy places the organism in Eukaryota, Metazoa, Chordata, Amphibia, Anura, Bufonidae. The transcript is spliced from 2 exons. The record is from RefSeq and is a predicted model, not a curated record.